AGUCGAGCGGUAGCACAGAGAGCUUGCUCUCGGGUGACGAGCGGCGGACGGGUGAGUAAUGUCUGGGAACUGCCUGAUGGAGGGGGAUAACUACUGGAAACGGUAGCUAAUACCGCAUAACGUCGCAAGACCAAAGUGGGGGACCUUCGGGCCUCAUGCCAUCAGAUGUGCCCAGAUGGGAUUAGCUGGUAGGUGGGGUAACGGCUCACCUAGGCGACGAUCCCUAGCUGGUCUGAGAGGAUGACCAGCCACACUGGAACUGAGACACGGUCCAGACUCCUACGGGAGGCAGCAGUGGGGAAUAUUGCACAUUGGGCGCAAGCCUGAUGCAGCCAUGCCGCGUGUGUGAAGAAGGCCUUCGGGUUGUAAAGCACUUUCAGCGGGGAGGAAGGCGGUGAGGUUAAUAACCUCAUCGAUUGACGUUACCCGCAGAAGAAGCACCGGCUAACUCCGUGCCAGCAGCCGCGGUAAUACGGAGGGUGCAAGCGUUAAUCGGAAUUACUGGGCGUAAAGCGCACGCAGGCGGUCUGUCAAGUCGGAUGUGAAAUCCCCGGGCUCAACCUGGGAACUGCAUUCGAAACUGGCAGGCUAGAGUCUUGUAGAGGGGGGUAGAAUUCCAGGUGUAGCGGUGAAAUGCGUAGAGAUCUGGAGGAAUACCGGUGGCGAAGGCGGCCCCCUGGACAAAGACUGACGCUCAGGUGCGAAAGCGUGGGGAGCAAACAGGAUUAGAUACCCUGGUAGUCCACGCUGUAAACGAUGUCGAUUUGGAGGUUGUGCCCUUGAGGCGUGGCUUCCGGAGCUAACGCGUUAAAUCGACCGCCUGGGGAGUACGGCCGCAAGGUUAAAACUCAAAUGAAUUGACGGGGGCCCGCACAAGCGGUGGAGCAUGUGGUUUAAUUCGAUGCAACGCGAAGAACCUUACCUGGUCUUGACAUCCACAGAACUUACCAGAGAUGCAUUGGUGCCUUCGGGAACUGUGAGACAGGUGCUGCAUGGCUGUCGUCAGCUCGUGUUGUGAAAUGUUGGGUUAAGUCCCGCAACGAGCGCAACCCUUAUCCUUUGUUGCCAGCGGUUAGGCCGGGAACUCAAAGGAGACUGCCAGUGAUAAACUGGAGGAAGGUGGGGAUGACGUCAAGUCAUCAUGGCCCUUACGACCAGGGCUACACACGUGCUACAAUGGCAUAUACAAAGAGAAGCGACCUCGCGAGAGCAAGCGGACCUCAUAAAGUAUGUCGUAGUCCGGGAUUGGAGUCUGCAACUCGACUCCAUGAAGUCGAAUCGCUAGUAAUCGUAGAUCAGAAUGCUACGGUGAAUACGUUCCCGGCUGUACACACGCCCGUCACACCAUGGGGAGUGGGUGCAAAAGAAGUAGUAGCUAACCUCGGAGGCCGCUUACCACUUUGUGGAUUCAUGACUGGGG
Molecule: ribosomal RNA, 1420 nt
Filed under: Klebsiella sp. VITPGP5AB
Lineage: Bacteria; Pseudomonadati; Pseudomonadota; Gammaproteobacteria; Enterobacterales; Enterobacteriaceae
Description: 16S ribosomal RNA
Rfam family: Bacterial small subunit ribosomal RNA
Source: RNAcentral